UACGUAGGGUGCAAGCGUUGUCCGGAAUUAUUGGGCGUAAAGAGCGCGCAGGCGGCUGGUCAAGUCCGAUGUGAAAGCUCCCGGCUUAACUGGGAAAUUGCAUCGGAAACUGAUCGGCUGGAAGGUGGGAGAGGGUAGCGGAAUUCCCGGUGUAGUGGUGAAAUGCGUAGAUAUCGGGAGGAACACCAGUGGCGAAAGCGGCUACCUGGCCCAUUCUUGACGCUGAGGCGCGAAAGCUAGGGGAGCAAACGGG
This 253-nucleotide ribosomal RNA is filed under the name uncultured bacterium. Its description in RNAcentral is "partial 16S ribosomal RNA". It matches the Rfam family "Bacterial small subunit ribosomal RNA", at positions 524 to 776 of the family's 1533-position model. The record is from RNAcentral.